This 377-nucleotide ribosomal RNA is filed under the name uncultured bacterium. RNAcentral's name for it is "bacterial SSU rRNA". It matches the Rfam family "Bacterial small subunit ribosomal RNA", at positions 521 to 896 of the family's 1533-position model. The record is from RNAcentral.
UAACACGAACCGUACGAACGUUAUUCGGAAUUACUGGGCUUAAAGGGUUUGUAGGCGGCCAUGUAAGUCGGGUGUGAAAUCCCUCGGCUCAACCGAGGAAUGGCGCCCGAUACUGCAUGGCUUGAGGGAGACAGGGGUAAGCGGAACUGAUGGUGGAGCGGUGAAAUGCGUUGAUAUCAUCAGGAACACCGGUGGCGAAAGCGGCUUACUGGGUCUCAUCUGACGCUGAGGAACGAAAGCUAGGGGAGCGAACGGGAUUAGAUACCCCGGUAGUCCUAGCUGUAAACGAUGAGCACUUAUCUGGGGAUCCUCCCAUAGGUUCCCGGAUGUAGCGAAAGUGUUAAGUGCUCCGCCUGGGGAGUAUGGUCGCAAGGCUG